RNAcentral lists this ribosomal RNA (490 nucleotides) under uncultured bacterium. Its description in RNAcentral is "partial 16S ribosomal RNA". It matches the Rfam family "Bacterial small subunit ribosomal RNA", at positions 29 to 507 of the family's 1533-position model. The record is from RNAcentral.
AGUGAACGCUGGCGGCAGGCCUAACACAUGCAAGUCGAACGGCAGCACAAGAGAGCUUGCUCUCUGGGUGGCGAGUGGCGGACGGGUGAGGAAUGCAUCGGAAUCUGCCCAUUUGUGGGGGAUAACCUCGGGAAACCGGGACUAAUACCGCAUACGACCUACUGGUGAAAGCAGGGGAUCUUCGGACCUUGCGCAGAUGGAUGAGCCGAUGCCGGAUUAGCUAGUUGGAGGGGUAAAGGCCCACCAAGGCGACGAUCCGUAGCUGGUCUGAGAGGAUGAUAGGCCACACUGGGACUGGGACACGGCCCAGACUCCUACGGGAGGCAGCAGUGGGGAAUAUUGGACAAUGGGCGCAAGCAUGAUCCAGCCAUGCCGCGUGUGUGAAGAAGGCCUUCGGGUUGUAAAGCACUUUUGUUGGGAAAGAAAAGCAGCCGGUUAAUACCCGGUUGUCAUGACGGUACCCAAAGAAUAAGCACCGGCUAACUUCGUG